AGAGUUUGAUCAAUGGCUCAGAUUGAACGCUGGCGGCAGGCCUAACACAUGCAAGUCGAGCGGAAACGAAGGGGUGCUUGCACCUCAGGCGUCGAGCGGCGGACGGGUGAGUAACGCGUAGAAAUCUACCCGGUAGUUGGGGAUAGCCCGGAGAAAUCCGGAUUAAUACCGAAUACGCUCUACGGAGGAAAGUGGGGGACCUUUCGGGGCCUCACGCUACAGGAUGAGUCCGCGUCUGAUUAGCUAGUUGGUGGGGUAAAAGCCCACCAAGGCGACGAUCGGUAGCUGGUCUGAGAGGAUGAUCAGCCACACUGGGACUGAGACACGGCCCAGACUCCUACGGGAGGCAGCAGUGGGGAAUAUUGGACAAUGGGGGCAACCCUGAUCCAGCCAUGCCGCGUGUGUGAAGAAGGCUUUCGGGUUGUAAAGCACUUUCAGUGGUGAGGAAGGCUUGUUUUUAAUAGAGGCAAGUACUUGACGUUAGCCACAGAAGAAGCACCGGCUAACUCCGUGCCAGCAGCCGCGGUAAUACGGAGGGUGCAAGCGUUAAUCGGAAUUACUGGGCGUAAAGCGCGCGUAGGCGGUUUGUUAAGUGAGGUGUGAAAGCCCCGGGCUCAACCUGGGAACCGCAUCUUAUACUGGCAGGCUAGAGUAUGGUAGAGGUGGGUAGAAUUCCUGGUGUAGCGGUGAAAUGCGUAGAGAUCAGGAGGAAUACCGGUGGCGAAGGCGGCCCACUGGACCGAUACUGAC
This 750-nucleotide ribosomal RNA is filed under the name uncultured Gammaproteobacteria bacterium. Its description in RNAcentral is "bacterial SSU rRNA". It matches the Rfam family "Bacterial small subunit ribosomal RNA", at positions 8 to 744 of the family's 1533-position model. Lineage: Bacteria; Pseudomonadati; Pseudomonadota; Gammaproteobacteria. The record is from RNAcentral.